RNAcentral lists this ribosomal RNA (240 nucleotides) under uncultured bacterium. Its description in RNAcentral is "partial 16S ribosomal RNA". It matches the Rfam family "Bacterial small subunit ribosomal RNA", at positions 15 to 244 of the family's 1533-position model. The record is from RNAcentral.
GAUUCUGGCUCAGGAUGAACGCUAGCUACAGGCUUAACACAUGCAAGUCGAGGGGAAACGACAUCGAAAGCUUGCUUUUGAUGGGCGUCGACCGGCGCACGGGUGAGUAACGCGUAUCCAACCUGCCCACCACUUGGGGAUAACCUUGCGAAAGUAAGACUAAUGCCCAAUGACAUCCCACGAAGGCAUCCGAAUGGGAUUAAAGAUUUAUCGGUGAUGGAUGGGGAUGCGUCUGAUUAG